This 471-nucleotide ribosomal RNA is filed under the name uncultured bacterium. RNAcentral describes it as "bacterial SSU rRNA". It matches the Rfam family "Bacterial small subunit ribosomal RNA", at positions 32 to 514 of the family's 1533-position model. The record is from RNAcentral.
AAUCAACGCUGGCGGCGUGCCUCAGACAUGCAAGUCGAACGAUUAAAGCUCUCUUCGGAGAGUGCAUAAAGUGGCGCACGGGUGAGUAACACGUAAGUAAUCUACCUUCGAGUGGGGAAUAACGUCCGGAAACGGACGCUAAUACCGCAUAAUGCAGCGGCAUCGCAAGAUGACAGUUGUUAAAGAUUUAUCGCUUGAAGAGGAGCUUGCGGCAGAUUAGCUAGUUGGUAAGGUAAUGGCUUACCAAGGCUACGAUCUGUAACCGGUCUAAGAGGACGGUCGGUCACACUGACACUGAAUAACGGGUCAGACUCCUACGGGAGGCAGCAGUCGGGAAUUUUGGGCAAUGGGCGAAGCCUGACCCAGCAACGCCGCGUGAAGGAUGAAGUAUUUCGGUAUGUAAACUUCGAAAGAAUGGGAAGAAUAAAUGACGGUACCAUUUAUAAGGUCCGGCUAACUACGUGCCAGCAG